UUGAGAAAUAUGGAUAUACUAUAGAGAUAACAACCAGAAAACUCACAGAAGAAAUGUUUAUAAAUACUUAUAAGUGUUUGCCUUUGGAGCCUGAAACUGCUGGAAGAUUGAAAUUGAAAUUAAUACCUAAAUGUAGAAGCAUGAUGAACUGCCUGUCGGUGAGGAGCUCUGAAACAACAGUCACAUUCAAGUCUGAUAUUACAAAGGACUGUCCCAAGUGUGAAAUUAGUAUGUGAUGUAAAAAGUGGAUACCCCAUGAAGACUGGGGAUUAUGAAAAUGUGACCUGGGAAAUCCUGUCUACUAAGAUACUGCUUUAAGAUAUUAGCCUCUUAAUUCAAACU
Long non-coding RNA from Hyaena hyaena (striped hyena), 342 nucleotides. RefSeq lists it as uncharacterized. The record is from RefSeq and is a predicted model, not a curated record. Lineage: Eukaryota; Metazoa; Chordata; Mammalia; Carnivora; Hyaenidae. The transcript has 3 exons.